Molecule: ribosomal RNA, 484 nt
Filed under: uncultured bacterium
Lineage: Bacteria
Description: partial 16S ribosomal RNA
Rfam family: Bacterial small subunit ribosomal RNA
Source: RNAcentral
AUUGAACGCUGGCGGCAGGCCUAACACAUGCAAGUCGAGCGGAUGAAGGGAGCUUGCUCCUGGAUUCAGCGGCGGACGGGUGAGUAAUGCCUAGGAAUCUGCCUGGUAGUGGGGGAUAACGUCCGGAAACGGGCGCUAAUACCGCAUACGUCCUGAGGGAGAAAGUGGGGGAUCUUCGGACCUCACGCUAUCAGAUGAGCCUAGGUCGGAUUAGCUAGUUGGUGGGGUAAAGGCCUACCAAGGCGACGAUCCGUAACUGGUCUGAGAGGAUGAUCAGUCACACUGGAGCUGAGACACGGUCCAGACUCCUACGGGAAGCAGCAGUGGGGAAUAUUGGACAAUGGGCGAAAGCCUGAUCCAGCCAUGCCGCGUGUGUGAAGAAGGUCUUCGGAUUGUAAAGCACUUUAAGUUGGGAGGAAGGGCAGUAAGUUAAUACCUUGCUGUUUUGACGUUACCAACAGAAUAAGCACCGGCUAACUUCGUG